This is a long non-coding RNA of Macrobrachium nipponense, 2552 nucleotides long. RefSeq lists it as uncharacterized. The transcript is spliced from 3 exons. Lineage: Eukaryota; Metazoa; Arthropoda; Malacostraca; Decapoda; Palaemonidae. The record is from RefSeq and is a predicted model, not a curated record.
UUUACUCUACUGCUCUGCCAAGAAUAAAAAUUUACGCAAGCUGAAAUAUUGGUUAGUCAUCUAGUCACGCUACAUUUAAGCCUACUCCUACUACGGUGUAUGAAGUAAUCCAAGAAGGUCUCACUACACUGAAGUCAGUACCGACUCCGAGACCGAGUACGUCAAUUCUUCAGUACUCUACUGGAAGCCAAUCGAUGCGGACUACAAGUCUCUGGCCUCUCCUUGAAAUCUAGCAACAAAAUUCAUUGGUUCUGAAACAGCGUUCCAGUUUGAACCAAGGAGAUGAUGAAAUCCGGCCAGUUAAAAGUAAUGUAUCUGAUAGUGGCCGCGCUGACUUCAGUAGCGCACACAGAAAACGUUACCAAUGAAGACGUAAUUGAACCCGCUGGGAACUUUCACCGGCCCAGAAGCUUUAGAUUUUUUAACCCGGAAAAACCGGUCGUAAAGGGACUUGAAAAGACUAAGGUGUUUGGUGUUAUGAUGAAAUACAAAAUCGAAAGCAUUGCCUAUGGCAUCGAAUUCUUUACAAACCUGCUGGAUCCCAUUUUCAGCAAACUAGAAAAUGAUUCUUCAUCGAUUAAGACCAGGUUUCCUUAUCGAAUAAUGCCGCAUAGCCAAUCAGUAGCAGUUCCCUGCAGGAAAGGCUUUCUGAAUUGUGUUGAUUUUCUGUCAUCAGCAUACGCAUCACAUGGAUUGACAAUAAAAGCCUGGCUACGUAGUCAAGAUAAUGGCACUCAAAUGGCUUUCAAUAGAACCUGCACGACUUUGAAAAACAAGAAAAAGUACACGGAUACCUAUCUGAACUGGACAGGUUGCCUAGAAACCGACCCGCUGGUUUCUGGGAGUCCUAAGCCACCAGAUUUAAGAAGCACUAAUGCAUCUCAAAUAGUCUACGAUUAUAAAUUCCUCUUAACAUCUAUGCAAUUCAUGUGCUGGUAUACGACACACAAAGUAAAGUAUCUCAAUGUAUCGAAGCCUUGCUCCUAUAAUCAUCUUAACCCCAGUGACUGCGCUUUUGGAGCCUUCUGUCCUAAACCAUGCUGGAACCUAGGCUCUAACAAGGAUAUCUGCACAAGUAAUGGAAGUACGGGAAAAUGCUAUGUCAAGUUUGAAGACAAUAGGAACUUCCACCAUCUCCUUACAGAAUCCAUUAAUGUUACCUGCAUUUGCAAAGAAGGCUAUGUACACGAAAAAAGGGCACAAAAUUGUGUUGGGCAGUACUACUAUAAGGAGCUGAAUCACUCUUGUGACCCACUAACACAAGACCCUUUAUACGUCCCAAACCAUGUACUAUGCCGCUGUAAAAUAGGCUACUUCUGGGACAAAAAUAAGACUAUAUGCAAGAGUAUCGAGGAGAAGCCUGAUUCUACAGGUCUUACGCAAAAUAUAUUUGAGUCAUUCAUCAACUUCGCUAAACACCACGCACUGUCAGACCUGGUAGACUAUUAUUACGGGUUAAUACUUGCACUGUUCUGAAGAGAAGAGGUACUGUUAACUCCCUUUCAUUUAUGCAAAAAAGUUUUCAAAUCUGUUAGACUAUUAUACGCAGUGUUUGAAGAAAAGGUAUUGUUAAUUCGCUUUCAGUUUUGCAAAAAAAAAAAAAAAAAAAAAAAAAAUAUGGAAUAAUUUUUGACAUUCCCAAAAACCAAUCUGUGUGAGCAUAAAGCAUAAAAAUGAUUUUGAGUUAGGAGCUUGAGUAAUGUUGCUUUAGGAUUGACAUAAUCUCUCAACUUUGAAUUAUGGAAUUGCAAAGUUGACGAAGUCGGCAAGAAAGUGGACCUUGAAAGCAAAGGUCAGUUUGUAAUAAUAAUAAUGAACAUUUUUUAUUGAUUUUCAGACAAAAAAAUGUGACGUCAUCCAUCACUAGCUGAAAUGGGUGUAUGGAAAUAGUCACAACAGCAUGAUAAUAUAGGGAAUUCCGUUAACUAAUUUUAUGUUCAGCAACUAUUACGAUGCAUUUAAGCAAGAUUAAAUGCUUCCGUACAGCUUUAACUUUUCCACGGAGUAAUAGAACAUCCAAAACGUAAUGUGGGCAAUUGUUAACUUGGUUCGCUCAAAAGAAUGUGCUUUUCGUUUAUUUCUUGACUUGAAUUCAAGUCACGUUGUAUGUAUUUUGUGACGCCUCAAAUGCUUCCUACGACAUGUAAAAUGAUUCUACAUGGCCUUUACAAUUAAAAGGACGCGCCUCUUCUUUACUGCAAUCAGCUUAACUUCCUUCGAAAAGAAACAUCAUCAUGUAAGCACUUACAUUUACAUCAAAAUGCAGCUGAAAAGUCUUGGCGUUAUAAUUACCUCACUCUUACUGUAAACAACAACUAAAAGAUACUAAGAGGAUUGGCCAUCACGUUCAGAUGGCGUCAAAAGCUUAAAAGAAGUCUAUACAGUACAGAAUAUCUAAAUUUAUGAUGUUAAGUAUUAUUAAAAGAAAACUGUUAAUCCCCUGCUUUCCAAUAACAAGGAUUUAAGUUACUUCAUAUGAUUACAUUCUAGGAAUUAACUUUAUAGAAAGGUCCCCUGGAUCAGUCAUUUUCAUUAAUAAAAACGUUUUGAGU